CCAGUUCGCCCGGAAGAGCCAGCUCAUCGAUACAAGUCAGCUCGUCGAGAGAAGUCUGCUCGUCAAGAUCAUCCAGCUCGCCCAGAAGAGCCAGCUCAUCGAUACAAGUCAGCUCGUCGAGAGAAGUCUGCUCGUCGAAGAUCAGCCAGCUCGCCCAGAAGAGCCAGCUCACUAGAACCACCAGCUCGAAACGGCAUCACCUCGUAGCGCCCUCAACUACGCUCUCAGUUCGCAAUAAGCCUUUCAGCCCGUCGAUUGCCCAGCUUCAAGUUCAGCUCGUGGAUUAGAGAUUGAUUCUUCACCUUCCCCAGAGACUCACCCGUACUUGUUUAAUUCGUGCAUUAACAGUUGGCGCGCCAGGUAGGGGGAUAGCUCGGAGAUAUCUAUCCAACAAACCACGAACUCACAACGGAGAUGACAACAGGCGGACCUUCAG
RNAcentral lists this small RNA (436 nucleotides) under Arabidopsis thaliana (thale cress). RNAcentral's name for it is "ATSL014320". The record is from RNAcentral. Lineage: Eukaryota; Viridiplantae; Streptophyta; Magnoliopsida; Brassicales; Brassicaceae.